RNAcentral lists this ribosomal RNA (219 nucleotides) under Triticum aestivum (bread wheat). RNAcentral describes it as "partial small subunit ribosomal RNA". Lineage: Eukaryota; Viridiplantae; Streptophyta; Magnoliopsida; Poales; Poaceae. The record is from RNAcentral.
AUGCCCAGCGACGGCUACACGGUCACAGUGCCAAGGACGAAGGUGCAUCGGGACGGGGACUGCCACCGGGCGGUGCACGUGUGGAUCUACUGCGAGAGCACCAGGGAGCUGUUGCUGCAGCGCCACGCCGACUACAAGGACUCACGGACCGGCCAGUGGGACAUCUCCAGCGCCGGCCACAUAUCCGUCGGGGACUCCUCCCUCUCCUUCGCACGGUGA